This 292-nucleotide ribosomal RNA is filed under the name uncultured bacterium. RNAcentral's name for it is "partial 16S ribosomal RNA". The record is from RNAcentral. RNAcentral also lists the same sequence under 1 other name.
GGACUACUGGGGUAUCUAAUCCUGUUUGAUCCCCACGCUUUCGUGCCUCAGUGUCAAUACAGGCCUGGUGAACUGCCUUCGCAAUCGGUGUUCUAUUACAUCUCUAAGCAUUUCACCGCUACAUGUAAUAUUCCAUCCACCUCGACCUGAUUCAAGCUAAGCAGUAUCAAUGGCAGUUCCGGAGUUAAGCUCCGGGCUUUCACCACUGACUUACAAAGCCACCUACGCACCCUUUAAACCCAGUGAAUCCGGAUAACGCUUGCACCCUCCGUAUUACCGCGGCUGCUGGCAC